ACGCACGUGUGAAACUUGAAGGAAUUGACGGAAGGGCACCACAAGAACGCGUGGAGCAUGUGGCUUAAUUUGACCCAACGCGGGAAAUCUUACCGGGUCCGGACACACUGAGGAUUGACAGGCAAUAUUAAAUAUUUUGAUUCCUUCGGGAUGAUGGUAUUUAUGUUAAAUAUGCUAGUCCUUUCAUGAUUAUGUGAUAGGUGGUGCAUGGCCGUUCUUAGUUCGUGGAGUGAUCUGUCUGCUUAAUUGCGUUUCACUAAGGGCUUAUCUAAUUUUAACGUGUGUUGCUAUUGGUUGAACUUUGACCCCUUUAAUUAGUGCGUGUCUUAAUGUUCAUACCUUGGCACACACAAUUAAGUCCUGAAAGCAACGAACGUGACCG
Molecule: ribosomal RNA, 382 nt
Filed under: Foraminifera environmental sample
Lineage: Eukaryota; Foraminifera
Description: SSU rRNA
Rfam family: Eukaryotic small subunit ribosomal RNA
Source: RNAcentral